Sapajus apella (tufted capuchin) is the source of this 670-nucleotide RNA transcript. It is a transcript of the gene named elongation factor 1-alpha 1 pseudogene, with no coding region annotated. The record is from RefSeq and is a predicted model, not a curated record. NCBI's taxonomy places the organism in Eukaryota, Metazoa, Chordata, Mammalia, Primates, Cebidae. The transcript has a single exon.
AACAACCCAUCAAUGGAAGCAGCUGGCUUCACUGCUCAGGUGAUUAUCCUGAACCAUCCAGGCCCCCGUACUGGAUUGUCACACGGCUCACAUUGCAUGCAAGUUUGCUGAGCUUAUAGAAAAGAUUGAUUGCCGUUCUGGUAAAAAGCUGGAAGAUGGCCCUCAAUUCUUGAAAUCUGGUGGUGCUGCCAUCGUUGAUAGGGUUCCUGUCAAGAACACCACGUGCGUUGAGACCUUCUCAGACUAUCCACCUCUGGGUCGCUUUGCUGUUCGUGAUAUGAGACAGACGGUUGCUGUGGGUGUCAUCAAAGCAGUGGACAAGAAGACUGCUGGAGCUGGCAAGGUCACCAAGUCUGCCCACAAAGCCUGAAAGCCUAAAUGAAUAUUAUCCCUAAUACCUGGCACCCCAGUCUUAAUCAGUGGUGGAAGAACGGUUUCAGAACUGUUUACUUCAAUUGGCCAUUUAAGUUUAGUAGUAAAAGACUGGUCAAUGGUAACAAUGCGUCGUAAAACCUUCAGAAGGAAAGAAUAUUUUGUGGACCACCUUGGUUUUCAUUUUUGCUGUGGCAGUUUUAAGUUAUUAGUUUUUAAAAUCAGCACUCUUUAAUGGAAACAACUUGACCAAAAAUUUGUCACAGAAUUUUCAGACCCAUUAAAAAAGCUUAAUGAG